GGCUUUACGCAGGGGCAGCAUAAUAUCCAAUGAGGUUUAUCCAAGGUGUGAUUAUUGCUAACUAAAAACUAUCCCGGACUAAGACUUCACUCAUCCUAAAGCUCUGAAGUAAUGCUUGUUACUCUAACUGUACCUAGCCCUGGA
This is a small nuclear RNA of Nycticebus coucang (slow loris), 144 nucleotides long. RefSeq annotates it as U4 spliceosomal RNA. NCBI's taxonomy places the organism in Eukaryota, Metazoa, Chordata, Mammalia, Primates, Lorisidae. The record is from RefSeq and is a predicted model, not a curated record. The transcript has a single exon.